RNAcentral lists this ribosomal RNA (253 nucleotides) under uncultured bacterium. RNAcentral describes it as "partial 16S ribosomal RNA". It matches the Rfam family "Bacterial small subunit ribosomal RNA", at positions 524 to 776 of the family's 1533-position model. The record is from RNAcentral.
UACGUAGGGGGCAAGCGUUGUCCGGAUUUAUUGGGCGUAAAGAGCGUGUAGGCGGCCAGAUAGGUCUGCUGUGAAAACUCGAGGCUCAACCUCGAGCUGUCGGCGGAAACUAUUUGGCUAGAGUCCGGAAGAGGAGAGUGGAAUUCCUGGUGUAGCGGUGAAAUGCGCAGAUAUCAGGAGGAACACCGGCGGCGAAGGCGGUUCUCUGGGCCUUACCUGACGCUGAGGAGCGAAAGCGUGGGGAGCGAACAGG